GACGAACGCUGGCGGCGUGCUUAACACAUGCAAGUCGAGCGGAAAGGCCACUUCGGUGGUACUCGAGCGGCGAACGGGUGAGUAACACGUGAGUAAUCUGCCCCUGGCUUUGGGAUAGCCACCGGAAACGGUGAUUAAUACCGGAUACGACCACUUCUCGCAUGGGAUGGUGGUGGAAAGUUUUUUCGGCCAGGGGUGUGCUCGCGGCCUAUCAGCUUGAUGGUUGGGUAAGGGCUCACCAUGGCUUCGACGGGUAGCCGGCCUGAGAGGGUGACCGGUCACACUGGGACUGAGACACGGCCCAGACUCCUACGGGAGGCAGCAGUGGGGAAUAUUGGACAACGGGCGGAAGCCUGAUCCAGCAACGCCGCGUGAGGGAUGACGGCCUUCGGGUUGUAAACCUCUUUCAGCAGGGACGAAGCGCAAGUGACGGUACCUGCAGAAGAAGCACCGGCCAACUACGUGCCAGCAGCCGCCGUAA
RNAcentral lists this ribosomal RNA (481 nucleotides) under uncultured bacterium. Its description in RNAcentral is "partial 16S ribosomal RNA". It matches the Rfam family "Bacterial small subunit ribosomal RNA", at positions 28 to 523 of the family's 1533-position model. The record is from RNAcentral.